CAGCAGCCGCGGGAAUACGUAGGGUGCAAGCGUUAAUCGGAAUUACUGGGCGUAAAGCGUGCGCAGGCGGUUAUUUAAGACAGAUGUGAAAUACCCGGGCUCAACCUGGGAACUGCAUUUGUGACUGUAUAGCUAGAGUACGGCAGAGGGGGAUGGAAUUCCGCGUGUAGCAGUGAAAUGCGUAGAUAUGCGGAGGAACACCGAUGGCGAAGGCAAUCCCCUGGGCCUGUACUGACGCUCAUGCACGAAAGCGUGGGGAGCAAACAGGAUUAGAUACCCCGGUAGUCCCUGUCUCUUAUAC
Molecule: ribosomal RNA, 301 nt
Filed under: uncultured bacterium
Lineage: Bacteria
Description: partial 16S ribosomal RNA
Rfam family: Bacterial small subunit ribosomal RNA
Source: RNAcentral